CCUUUUAGUUGUACUAGUUUCAAGCUUUUAGUGAUAGAGAUUUAUUACUAAAACAAAAAGAAUCUAUAGAGUGUUAUUUAUCUUUGAAAUGGACUUUGCAUAUUUCACUUUAAAUUGCUAUGUUCACAUGAACAACUUCCUAAAUUGCUUAUUCAUGUGAAGAAAAAGUGUUUGGAGCUUUCUAUAUUUUAUGUAAAUUGUAUCGUUUUUUUUUUUUUUUUUUUGUGCUUGAUUUAUAAAAAUUAAAUUAAAAUUUCAAUAGAAUUAGUUAGUCACUUAAAACACUUGAAUUAGUUGAUUCAUUUUUGUUAGGCGAUACUUCAAAAUCAUAACUCUAUCUCCUUCUAUAAAACUAAAAAAUGAUUACUUGUAUAAUUUGAAGAUUAAAAUUAUUUUUUAAAAAUAUGAGAAGUUUAUAUAAGUACAUGGCAGGAGCAUUCUCAAAAAAAUCAUAGAUAGAAUUUGGGAGGUGCCUUGAAUAAUUUUUUUUUUUUUUUUUUUACCCUUCCCUAGGAGCUCCCACCCUUUUGCUCCCUUGAUGACUUGAACUCGCAAUCUUCGAGUUGGAAAUGGGAGGUGCCUUGAAUAAUUAGCAUGAAUAUAAACAGGAUUAAGCAAGUAAUAAUGUAGUGCAGGUGAAGCACACUCUCAAAGAAGGAAAUUAAUUUGCUGAUUUUUUUUAUCAACUUUAUUUUUAAUUUUGUAGGUACAAAAAUUCUAUAAUUUAACUCAAUACAAGAUGUUUCAUCACAAGAAAGAACAAUAGUAAAAUUGAAAAAGAAAAAACAAUGAUGAAUCUAAGAAUAGGGAAGUGCCAAAAUAAGUAUUUCACUACACAAAGAGACAAUCAAACACAUGAUUCAACACAAUCACAAGUGGAUACAAAAUUACAAUUAUAUCUAGGAGGAAAAAUAGAAUAAAAGAAAAAUCAACAAUAGAUUACAUAGGCAAAAAGAAGUUUAAAAAGGUUUUAAUCUACAGAUCAAAAUAAUCUCGAUGAAGUUGAGGACGUACCCGCUAGAUCUGGAUCUUGUUGUUUUGGUAUCUGCUCUUCGAGACUCACUUUGCUAAGAAAAAGGAGAUAACAGUAAAAUUCGUCAUUUCUAGUCUGUAGCUACAAGAAAUAGAGAGAAUGACGGUUUUACCUCAGAUUAUUGGUCUAGAUUUAACGACAUGGAGUCGAAGAAGUCUUCAUGGAGAUUGAUUUUAUGACAUUUGAGAUUUAAAGACGUUUAUCUGAAAUUUACUAGAUCUCUAUAUUUUUUUAUCUCAAGAACUUCUCCUUGAGGCAAAAUCCACAUGAAUUUUGAGUUGAUUCUACUCCUAGAGCUUCGAUGAAAAAGAUGAAUCAAUCAGGUUCUCUUCAUUUUCUUGUCUUAGC
Molecule: long non-coding RNA, 1381 nt
Filed under: Solanum tuberosum (potato)
Lineage: Eukaryota; Viridiplantae; Streptophyta; Magnoliopsida; Solanales; Solanaceae
Description: long non-coding RNA (STUB_LNC011751)
Source: RNAcentral